CAACCAAAGCUGGCGACCGGCGCACGGUGAGUACACGUAUCAACCUGCCUCAUACUCGGGGAUAGCCUUUCGAAAGAAAGAUUAAUAUCCGAUAGCAUAUAUUUCCCGCAUGGGUUUUAUAUUAAAGAAAUUCGGUUGAGGAUGGGGAUGCGUUCCAUUAGUUUGUUGGGGGGUAACGGCCCACCAAGACUACGAUGGAUAGGGGUUCUGAGAGGAAGGUCCCCCACAUUGGAACUGAGACACGGUCCAA
RNAcentral lists this ribosomal RNA (250 nucleotides) under uncultured bacterium. Its description in RNAcentral is "partial 16S ribosomal RNA". It matches the Rfam family "Bacterial small subunit ribosomal RNA", at positions 75 to 334 of the family's 1533-position model. The record is from RNAcentral.